Molecule: ribosomal RNA, 253 nt
Filed under: uncultured bacterium
Lineage: Bacteria
Description: partial 16S ribosomal RNA
Rfam family: Bacterial small subunit ribosomal RNA
Source: RNAcentral
UACAGAGGGUGCGAGCGUUGUUCGGAAUUAUUGGGCGUAAAGGGCGCGUAGGCGGUGCGGUAAGUCACCUGUGAAAUCUCCUGGCUCAACUGGGAGCUUGCAGGCGAAACUGCCGGGCUUGAGUAUGGGAGAGGUGAGUGGAAUUCCUGGUGUAGCGGUGAAAUGCGUAGAUAUCAGGAGGAACACCUGUGGCGAAAGCGGCUCACUGGACCAUAACUGACGCUGAUGCACGAAAGCUAGGGGAGCAAACAGG